This is a long non-coding RNA of Brassica napus (rape), 3494 nucleotides long. RefSeq lists it as uncharacterized. NCBI's taxonomy places the organism in Eukaryota, Viridiplantae, Streptophyta, Magnoliopsida, Brassicales, Brassicaceae. The record is from RefSeq and is a predicted model, not a curated record. The transcript is spliced from 5 exons.
AACAUGAACCGGAUAUAUCUAAUGACGUUGGACAGAUCCCCAUAGCCUAGUCAAUUAGGCCUCAGUCAAUCGGAUACCUCAGGUUAUCAACAACAAAAAAAGGUCACGGAACACCCUUGUUGAAUAUCUUCGGCACACUGGAAAAAGCCUUCCAAAAUUUCAUUGACAGGUACUAAGAUGAUGUCGAAAUGCAAAUAAAAAUCCACUAUAAAAAAUGAGAAAAGCUCAACGGAAACAGCAAAGCUAGUAGGCAGUUACUGGACUAUAUCAAAUGCUUUGGAUAUAUCAAAUUUGACUGCACAACAUGAUACUGUAUUGCUAUAGUAUACUUUUAACCUUUUAUUUACGGUGACAACUAUAUAGUUUAAUUAUUUUAAAGCGAAUAAAUAUUUAUUCCUUGUUGUAAAAUUACUAGAUUUAUUAAUGUUAACUUAUCAACUUAAAUUAAAAUUUUAAAUUAUAUUGAUGAAAUUGUAAAGAAGUUGUAAUUUAUAUAGUUAUAUAUACAUGAAAUUAAAUUAAGCUGGAAAAUUUAUAAUAUCAUCAAUGCAUAUAUUUUAUCAGUUGAAUUUCUGUUUUUAGAGAGAGAGAAAAGAAGAGGCUUGUUAGUUAACUUUCGAACUAAACUUGGAUCGUCCUGGGAAUCAGAUCCACAAUAAUAAAACCAGAAAAUUGUCGUUAAUGUUUCUGUAACAUCCGAUUUCUGAUAUAUUUAGAAAAGUUUAAGAGAACUGAUUUAUCUACAUAUGUCAUCAAAGUGCGCUUAUCUUUUUGGGCACACAUCCGUUUAAAACUCUUGAGUUAAGCCUGCUGGAGUUGGGGUAGUAGAAUGAUGGGUGAUCUAUCGGGAAGUGAUUCAUGAUAUCGUGCAAGUGAAGCCAAAGCACGGGGAGGGAUCAUGCGGUGAUUGCAUGGUCAGUAAACAAUACUUUUGGGCUUUAAAAAAUUAAUGCAAUGUUGGUUGCAUGGAAUGGGGCCUCUGGGAUGAGAGAGCGGGCGUGGAGGGUCUAUUAGUUGUGGGCGGUCAGGACGUAACAAGUGGUAUCAGAGCAAAGUUAGUCAUCUCGGUUCUGACCCGAGAGGCGUUUAGAAACCUUUUGUGGCGUGCAAUGGUUGCGUUCUGUGACUAGGGGUAAAUUAUAACAUCAUGAUUUUUAGUUUAUGUGGAAGGUUUAACAGAACUGAUUUGGCUGUCUAUGUCACCAUAUGUGUUUACCUUCUUGCGCACAUCCGUUUAGAACUCCAGAAUUAAGUAUGCUUGAGUUCGAGUAGUAGAAGGAUGAAUGACCUAUCGGAAAGUGAUUCAUGAUAUCGUGUGAGUGAGGCCAAAAUACGAAAAAAUGUCAUGUUGUAAUUGCAAAGUCAGUAAACAAUACUUUCGGAUUCUAAAAAAAUUAAUGCAUCGCCUGUCUGCACUAAAUAAAAUCCACGGGCCAAUAAAAUGUAGGAGGCUUAUUAUCUGUGGGCACUCGGAACGUAACAAUUCUAUUUUGGACUAUCAAUGCUAGGUUUUAUUUUUGGGAUAAAAUAUUUGAUCUUCAAUAUCUUUUAGAUUUUCCUUUUCCCCUUAGCAUUUGGACAUGAUCUCUAGAUAUAUAUUUUGUCUUCUCUAGCGCCAUAAGGCUAUAACAUACAAUGAACAAAUGUUAAGAAUAAUCUCCUUUUUCUUUUCCAAAAGAUAAAGAUCACGGUUUUCUUUCAAGAUUUUAAAACAAUUAUGUGUUUUUAUGCAAAAUAGAACAAUAAAUAUUAAGUGAAUGAAUUAAUCAUUAUUUUUUUAAAGUUAAAAAUAAAUAUAUUUUUUUGAAAGUUAACAAAAAAAAUUUUUUUUUUGAAACUUAUGUUUUUAAUUAUUUAUUUUGUUAAAUAUAUUAGAACAAUGAUAUUGCUUGGAAAACUUGAAAAAUGCCAGGAGGACAUGGCUGCAAAAUUAUGGCCACUCCCACCACAUCCAAAGGUUGAAAACGUUAGCAAAAACGUUACAUUGUGAAGAUAUAAAUUCUUAUAAAUCCUACUAUAUAAAAGGGACUAAAUUCUAGCUUCCUAAGCCUGCCACGUCACCUAAAAUAUUUAGAACCAAUCAAUGUUACACAUCAACAUGUAAAUUAGCUAAAUUCUCGCGACUCCUCAUGUCAUCUCUGUGGCGGCUCCGCGGUUGCCUCCCUCCGUUGCCGUGACCAAGCUUCCUUCGCGACUAUAAGCCACGUUAUUUCCUAGCUCCCAAAGUCGUCGAUCUCACUUCCAAUUGCAGAAGAUCUCAAGCCGCGGCAGCCAAAUUAGCCAAUCUCACUUCUAUUUCGUCUGAAGGGUUGAUGGUUGACCGUCUCCGACUCUUCACUUCGUCGUCACCACCACAUUGAUUAAUCAAUUAUCUUCUUUACUCAUUUCGUCUCCUUUUAUAUCAGAAUUAUGCUUUAUGGUUUGAAUCCGGUGGUUUAUUAUUUUUAUUUUUGUUUGUAAUUGUUUUCAGGCACCACUCAUUCCAGCCAGAAACAUCCGGAUACUCUGUUCACGUAGCUAUGUUCACAAGAAGUUGCUUAGCAGAGGAUGAUACUCUGAUCACGCAGCUAUUCGUAAAAACGGAGAUAGUGAAAUUGAGGAGACAAUCAGAGAGAUGGAAGCAAUGAUGAAAUGAAAUAAUUUGAGCAAAGUGGACGACCGUAAUGCAAGAAGCUAUAUAACUUAAAGGAAACAAAAAAAUGUUUUACAUUUUUUUUAGGAUAAAUGGUCAUCCGUUUGAUGCAGAAAUGUUCUACUUGAGGCAUGUAUGCACAAAGUGACAGAAGAGUCAGAAAAACGUGGAGCAUUUUGGUCUGAAAAGUGGCCAGAGUAGAGAUUGUUCAUCAGUGGUUUGAAGACACAUAUGGAAAUCAGCACAAGAGGAUUUCACAGCAGACAUGAUUGUUGAAAAACUAUUGUUUCAGUCAUACUUCAAGGGUGUAGGAAUUGAUUGGUGGUAUGUGAGAAACGUUAUGGAUUGAGAGCUGUAUAUGGAGGUUUUAUUGCUGCAUUGAAGGAUCUGAGACAGUGAGACUCUGUGUGAUUAAUGUACUUUCCUCAAACUUACGACCUUCAUGAUGAUUCAUCAAUUAUCUGCACUGAAGAAGAGGUGCAGCUUGGUGUCUGUAAUGGUUGAAGUGGACCGAAUUCUUAGACCACAAGAAACAUUUAUAGUAAAUGAUGGCAUGGAAAAGAUAGGAGAAAUUGAGAAGAUGAUGGAAUCACUGAAAUGGAAUGUAAGAAUGACACAUUCCAGAUAUGGAGAAGGAGUGAUCUCUGUUCAGAAGUCAUGGUGGCGUCCUACAGAGGUCGAGACCAUUACAUCGGCCAUAUCAAGUGAAAGAGAAUUGGUUUAAUAUAGUUUUAUGAGAAUGUUUCUUUCAUGAUCACGUUGAUUGCUUACAUUGUAUUAGGCCAAUAUGUGUAUCUUUUUUGCCUUGACGAAAAUUAUAUACAAGACAUUGUCCCUAUAAUAUAAGCUUUUUAUAAGUUUU